AAAAUAAUAGAAAAAGGAUGAAAAUGGUCUAAUGGCCAUUUUAAGUAAUAUACAAAACUUGGUUAUAUUUAUUGUAAAUUUUUUAUUUUUUUAAAUAUAAAUGAAAUUUUUUCUUUAAAUAGUACACAGAUAUCUAACUUAUUAAAUUUAAUGAAAUAAAUUUAGUCAAAUAUUUUUAAAUUUUACAAAGCUAAUAUUAUGUUCAUACGUUUUUAAAAGAUUUUUAAAAAUUCGCCAGCUUCAUCAAGUUCUCGUGCAAAUUCAAUAUUUUCCAUGAAAGGUUUGAUAUACUAUUGCACAAGAGUUGCUACAUACACUUUUAUAAACAAGAACUAGUAGAACUAUCCGUUCUUUGCGCGAUUAAAAAUAUCUUAUUCAAUUAAUGAAAUGAUCCUCUUUACUUGUAAUAUAAUAUAAUGAUAAAAAUAGGUUGUGCACACCUAAAAAAUGACCCUCACUUUCCACAAUUAUAUAUUCCGAGAAAAUUACAUAUAUAUCUUCUUUUGAUUUUAAUUUGUACAUCAUUUUUGAAACUCCAAAUGUAAAUAUUUUAUUUUUAUUUAUCAUAUCUAUUAUGCUUUGAUGUUUUUGCUUGUAUACUUUGCAAUAGGCACGUAUUCCAUCCGUUUCAUUUUACCAGUCCCAAAUUGAUAUCACACAAUUAUUAAGAAAACUAUGAUCUAUAAAGUAACUUUAUCAUUUAACCCCUUUUAAUUGUAUAUCAUUUAACCCCUUUUAAUUGUAUAUUAUUAUCAAUUUCAAUAUUGAUAGAUGACUAAUAUCAAAGCACUAUUUAUAUUCUUAAUAAUAUACUCUUUGUAAUAUUUUUCAAGAAUGUUAAUAAUAAGGAAUAAUCAAUUAUACUAAGGAAAUAAUAAGAAAAAAAAUUAUCUUGAUAAGUAAAAACAGAGAAGUAAAAUACAACAAUAAAUUAGAAAAUUUGAGAUGGAGAAAAAUGGUACUAAGGGAGUAGUUGAGUUGAAUGUAGGAAAGGAAGCAGAGGCUUCAAAUCUGAAAACCAAAAACAGAAAAAUCAACUGACCAAACGCAUGGCCGCGGACAUAACAAUAAUUUAAGACAACUACAAAAUCAUUGCUCCACAAAUUUCAAAUACAAUUAUUGUAGAUUUUAUACUAAAUCAAGAGUGAAAGAUCAUUCAACAAUGGCAAAUUAUUUUUCAAUUAAACUCUACCAGCAGUUUCCUCGUUAUGAUAAAAAUUCCAAAGAAAAGAAUUCUUCAUAAAAACAAUUACUCGUCUUUUUAUAAAAAUAAAUAUGUUAAAAAAAAAGUCACUCAGUUCAGCGAGGUAAUCGACAUGCAAGCAAACUCUAAAAGAGGAGCCUGCAAUCCGGUCUGUUGAGCUUGAAUAUUAUGAAGUCAUCAUCGUGACACUUCUUCCACAAAUAAAUUAGAGUAAAAAGAAAAUUAGAAAACGUGUAAAAUUAAAAGAAAAAAAAAAGAAAUAAAAGAAAUUGCUUAAUCAAGUAAGAGCAGAUCAAGCUAUCAAACAUUAUCUUAUACGUAAAUACCAUUGAUCACAUUUUGUAUUCCAUGCGAAAUUGGUUUUUAUGAAAAUGUUUCAUGUAAAACUGAACAAUGAAACUACAAAUCCUUGAUUUAUAUUAUAACUACAUAGUAAAAACUCAUAUCAAAACAUUAAAACUACAACUUGACAAAAGAUAAUUAACUAUUAGCGAUUAUUAAGGAAAAGCAAUUAAAAUUCAAUUAGUGGUAACUCACAACAAAUCUAUAGAAGGAUUUCCAGAUCACAAAUCCAUACCACAGAAAAUGCAAUCAUGAACCAGGAAUUUCAGAGAAGGUACAUGUUAAAGCUAAGCAAAAGCACUCAAAGAAAACAUUUUCAUAGGAAGCGAUUGAACUUCGAAAGGUAUGACACAAGCCACCAUAUCAUCAUCAGAACGAUAAUCAAUUUCAUUCACAACCAUAACUAGUUGUGUCCAAAGGUGUCCUAAGAUUGAUCUGUGUCAUCAUUUGACUUAUGGCAACCAAUAAACUAAGAAAAAUGUUGCAAAAAAAAAAAAAAAAAAAAAUAUGUGCCACAAAUUAAAAACCAAAAGUAAAACUUGAAUUAAUAAACAGUAUGUGAUUCAGUUGCAACAUAAACAUAAUCACUAUUAUAAAAUCAGUCCAAGUGUUGGAAUUAAAAUAAUUGCUUCAUCAUCAUCACCAUUAGAACAAAAUAUAAAACGGCAGUUUCAUAAAUAGAAAAACAAGAAUAAAAGGUCAUUCAUCACCGAAAUCAGAAGAGGGAGCUUAGAUAUCCUCAUUAUGAUCUCAAUUUCAAAAAGGUCACUCCUGGGCUGAACAUUUGAGUCCAAUAAGUAUUAAUGGAUCGAAUCUCCUUCAGAGGUUAGGUUUGCACGAGAUUUACUUUUGGAAAAUUAUUUAAAACUACAAUAUAAGUUUAUAUUAUUACAUAAAAUUUUAAUUAUUAAAAAUAAUUAUAAAAAUCUCUUUUUAUUACUUUUUCUCUCCAAGUGUCGUAUACAUAUCUCAUCUAUCUUUUUCUUAUGUUUAAUGCUCCUCAAAGAGUAUCUACAAUCAAGGAACCUUAAUCAAGCGGUUUUUAAAUUUUGAAUUUACAAACGUAUUCUUCUCAAAUUGCUCAAUAUCAACUUUUUCAUAAAAAGAAAUCACAGCCGCCGCAUUCCACUCAUCUCCGAUCGGCACACCCCACCAACCCCGUCUCUUUGCCUUCGUCGCUGCUCCAGUGAGAAGCUCCAACUCUGAUGAAUCGAAGUUAACCUCAACAAAUCAACAACCUAUCUGACCGGUGAAAUCUAAUAAAAUUCUAAAAGUUUCUCUCAUCCGAUGAGCUUUGAAAAUACUUCGAAGCAUAGUCAUAAAUAAAAUUAUGGAAAUGACCAAUAAGAUAAGAGGUUCAAUAUGUGAAACAAAGUAAUAUCCAUGUUUUAAUAACAAAAUACAAAACAAAAAUUCAACACUGUCUAUGAAGCCUUUAACUUUAAGAAUAACUCCUAAGUAGGGACUGUGGACAAUGAAAUUUUAUGAAAUGCAAAUCCGUACAAAAUUCGGAUAAUAUUAAAUUUAAAAUAUAUUAAUCCUAAAUAAAUAGUGUGGAUUAAUAUAAUUGGAUUAAUUAGUUAAAGUCCAAACGCAUAUGGAUUUAAUUAAAGUCCAAACGCAUAUGGAUUUAAUUAAAGUCCAAACCUCAAUUGGGCUAACCUAUUAAUUUGGGCUACAAAUGACUAAGCCCACUUUAGCAAGCCCAAGAUGCCGUCAUGUUCUAAAGGCCCAAUUUGGUACCACAUGUCAAAUGAAGUGGUAUGCCAAGUCAAGUGAAGGAGUCAAUGGGACUAUGUCAUGUGUCAAAAUGAUGCAGUAAAUUAAAAGUCCAUAAGAAAUGCCAUGUCACUUAAAUAUGAUUGGUCAAAGAAAGUUUAUGUUUACAUGACUCUUUACUCCCUACAACUAUAAAUAGGGGCCUCAUAAUUCAGAAAAGGGACCAACAAGUUUAACAAGAAGCAAGAAAAAGCUCGUGGAUCAAAAAAGCAGAUUUCUCUACAAAUUCAAGAACAAGCUCAAGAUUUCAAGAUCAAGAGUUCAAGGUUCAAGAACAAGCUCAAGAUUUCAAGAUCAAGAGUUCAAGGUUCAAGAACAAGCUCAAGAUUUUAAGAUCAAGAGUUCAAGGUUCAAGAACAAGCUCAAGAUUGCAAGAUCAAGAGUUCAAGAUUCAAGAACAAGUUCAAUCUUCAAGAUCAAGACUACAAAAUUCAAGAACAAACUCAACGGCCCUUGAAUUCAAGUACAAGUCGAGAUCAAGUUCAUCAAGUCUUCAAAUCAAGUUCAAGUUCAAGAUCAAGACCACAAGAUUCAAGAACAAGCUACCAAGCCCUUGGAUUCAAGCACAAGUCAAGAUCACAUCCGUUAAGUUCAAGUUAAAGUUCAAGAUCAAGCUCGAAGCCCUUGAAUUUAUAGUUUAAAAAGGCAAAUCAGAGGAAUCAUAGAGAUUGUAACACUCACUUAUUGAAAUCAAUAAAUCGAUUGUUGCAGUAUUUUUUCUUGUCUCGAUUAUUAUUUUUUGUCUCGAGAAUUUUACUGUCCAACAAAUUCUGGCACGCCCAGUGGGACGAUUUUUACCUCUCAUCUCAACUUUUUAGACUUUGAAGAUUAAGAACGCUGAAAUGACUUCUAAGAAGAUCAACUCUCAAUCAACUGCUUCCAAGGCUGCUGAUUCAAGGUUCUCUUCUGAAGUGGAAAGCAUUCUUGGUGUUACUUUCGAAAGUUUAGGAGCUGUCACAAGGAGCAAGGUAGGCUUGCUAGGACAACAAACACAUCCAGUGUCGUUCGUGCCAAUUCCAGUUUUUGGAUCUUCAACCCCAAAAAGAGCGAAGUCCAAUACAAGUGCUUCGGAAGGAGGAAGCAGUGUCGCGGAAUCGCUUAAGAAGACUCUAGCUCUACUUGAGCAUUCUGGUUCCAAAUACUCUAGCACAAAGAGCGAUGGUCGUUCAACAAAUGCGUCAUCUCUAUUUAUACCGCAUAAGCUGAGCACAUCAAAGAUUAACUUAUGUGGCAAACCAUAUUACUCUCCAACGUCUCCAGUGAUCAUGUAAGCAAUGGUGACUGAUGCCUCGUCUAUGGAGGAGCAACUGGUGAAUCUGACAAAGGCAAUUGAGAGCCUGACCAAAUAUGUUCAGAAUCAAGAUGCUCGAAUUAAUAAGAUAGUGGAUAGGGUGGAAGGCCUGAUAGAUGGAGCAUCUAGAUAUACACUAAGAAAAGCUCUAGAGGAUCAAGAGAAAGAACAUCCUGGAAGCAAACAGCACCAACUAAAGAGGUACAAGUUUCUUCUGAGGGGAUGAUCUCGAUUGAGCAAUUGAAAAAAUUCAUUGAAGGGACCCUCAAAGACAAGUAUGAUGUUUUCACUAAGUUUUUUCUUGCGAAUGCCAAGCCCUACACUGUAAGGAUCGCUAGCCUCAAAAUUCCUGCAGGUUAUCAACCGCCCAAAUUUCAAUAAUUUGAGGGCAAAGGGAACCCGAAACAAUAUGUCGCACACUUUGUUGAGAUAUGUAAUAAUGCUGGAACUUAUGGAGACUAUCUUGUCAACCAGUUUGUUCGUUCCCUAAAGGGAAGCGCAUUUGAUUGGUAUACGAACCUUGAGCCUAACUCCAUCGAUAGUUGGGAGCAAUUGGAACAUGAGUUCGUGAAUCACUUUUAUAUCACGAGGCGUAUAGUGAUCAUGGUAGAGCUCAUAAAUACUUGACAAAAAAAGGAUGAGCCAAUCAUCGACUUCAUCAAUCGAUAGAGAAAUACGAGCCUAAAUUGCAAAGAUAGGCUCAGCAAAGCUUCUGCAAUAGAUAUGUGCAUCCAAGAAAUGCAUUGGUAGCUUCUCUAUAUCUUACAAGGCAUCAAACCAAAGUCCUUUAAAGAGUUAUCUACUCGUGAUCACGACAUGGAGUUGAGCAUGUCUUCUGCUGGAAAGAGAGGAACACCUAUCCCUGACCCUCAAAGGGGAAAGAAUAAGAAGAAACCCAAAAGAUGGGGCAAGUUUGUCCCCAAAAAUGACAAUAAGGAGUCCAUGAAUGUUGAUGUGUCUCCUGUGAAGGUCAUCACAAAGGUGAGCAAAAAGCAAAGUGUGAAGACGACCUCUGUAGCACGUCCAAAUCAGAAAACUUUAAAGGAGAUACAAGAAAAGAAAUAUCCCUUCCUUGAUUUUAAUGUUGACGAGAAUUUUAAUGAACUCCCUAAUGAAGAUGCAAUGGCUUUGGAAGUUAUAUCCCCAUGGAAGAUGUACUUUGAUGGUGCUAUACAUCGAGAUAGAACUGGUACUGGCGUAGUGUUUGUCACUCCACAAGAAGGGGUCAUCCCCUACUUUUUUACCUUGACGAAUCGUUGCUUCAAUAAUGUUGCUAAGUAUUAAGUGCUCAUACUCGGACUAGAUAUGGUUAUUGACAUGAAGCAACUAUAAUUACAAGUUUUUAGUGACUCUCAAUUGGUGAUAAAGCCGUUGUUGGGAAGCUAUGAAGUUUGAAAACCUGAGUUAAGACCAUAUCAUGAUCAUGCACAAAAGUUGAUGGGAUGGCUUAGAGAAGUAACCCUCUAACAUAUGCCAAGGAAAGAAAAUAAGCAAGCUGAUGCCCUAACUAUUUUGGCUUCAACUCUAACUUUUCCGAAUCAGACACGAGUUACUCUUUGCCAAGAAUGGGUAGUACCGCUAUCACAUGAAGAUGAAGACGUAAAAAGUAAGGUUGAAUACCUCGUCGCCAUGUUCGAAGCUAUAAAGGAGGAUUGGCGAAAACCUAUCAUUGACUACUUGUGUUAUGGGAUACUUCCAGAAGAUCCAAGGAGAAAGACUGACAUUCGUCGUCGUACACCUCACUUUCUUUAUUACAAAGACACACUGUAGCAAAGAUUAUUUGAAGGAGUACUCUUAAGGUGUUUGUGAUACGAGAAUAAUAACCACCUUAGCUUUUGACGACAUCAUUCAAAGUCACUAUGUGAAGAAUCAAGCUUUAGUCGCAUGGAGGGCACAGGAUCAUACUUGGAGGGGACAUUUUGAGCCUACCAUUAAUUAAACUCGAGUGUGAAAGAUUGCUUGGAGACUUGAAGACUUAAGUACUCUCAGGUUUGGACCACCUUAUUGGUUCACGAUUUUGGUUUCCUUGAUUGAAGGGCAUUUUGGUCUCUUAUCUUUGUCCAAGUGACACUCCAUGACCAUCCUUCCUCAUUAAGGGCAUUAGAGUCAUUUUGUAUUUAUUUUGUAAUAGAUUAUAAAUAGGCUCCUUUAGUCUUAUUUUUAUUAGUUUAUGAAAGAUGAAAUAUUGAAACAUCAAAAAUCCUCUCUCUUGAGAGUAGAACACUUAGUCUUAGUUAGGGCUUGAAAAAACUAGUAUUAAUCUUUGCUUGGAAACGGUAGAUCUUGAGGUGAGAUGAUUCCCUUGGCGAUCACCAUAAGAGUGUGAUUUUGAUUAUUACAUUCAUUAGGGGAUUUUGAGUUUAAUACACUUUUUAGUUCUUAAUCUUGUAAUAAUCUUGGUCUCACUAUCUAUCAUUUACUUUUAUUAUUGUCAUCUUGUGUAGUGGACUAUUUUGGGUCCUUUAUUGAAUUUGAAACUUGUGUUAUUGUUAUUCAUCUUGUUCCUCACGUUUUGUAGCUGUUUGUGGUGUUAUAUACACCAUUGUAUCUUGUAUUUUUCUUGUUGAUAGCGAAUCCGAGAGUGUUCUACAUCUUGGUCCUCGGAUCCUUAAGAUUGCGGACUGACUUGGAGUGUGUUUCGUGCUUCCAUUUUCUUUCUCGUAUCAUCGUGUUCCUACAAGAUCAAUCUUGGGGUUGCUUGUUAGAAAAUUCAAAAAAAGUGUUAAAAAUUGAAAAUUCUAGAAAAAUAGCAAUCUGUCUGUGUUUGUGUUCUUGGCCAAAAUUGUGUUCUUGUUGUGUCUUGGCCGAGAUUUGUUUGUUGUGUGACUAGAUCUAGUAGUGUUCUUAUUUUUUUUUUUGUUUCUAGUGUUAGUUUUCUUGUCCACUAACACUUUGAGUCUAGAUCUAAACUUGAGCUUGAACUUGUUGAAAGUUGUUGUUGUGAACAUAAACUUGGCCCAUUGUUGUUGUUCUUGUUGUUAUGGGUUUAAAGUUUGCAGUGUAGACGUUGUUGUAAUUCUUGGUGAAUGUUGUGUUGUUAUUGAAGUUCUUCACAACCUUCAUCUCUUGUUAAAAUCGAGGACACAACACUAAAGAGACUUGGUCGUUUGUUGUUGUGGAUUGGAGUUGGCCGUUGGUAUUGUUGUUGUUCUAGAAAAUUGUUGUUAUUGUUGUUGGUGUGGUUGUUGUUGUUAUUGAAGUUCUUCACCUUCCUUCAUAUAUUGUUAGAAUAUAAAGUGAAUGCUAGAUCCUAAAAGGUGAAGGAAAAAGGUGUACGUACUUGUUAGUCUUGAAAGACCCCCAACCACCAAAAGACAUAUCACUUCUCAACCAUUUUUCCAUGAUUUGACCCAUGUUUUAAGGAGAAGUACAAGAAAAAUUCAAGUGUUGAAAAUUGAAAAAGGCUCCAAGACUUAUUUUUCCUCCUAAACAAAUUCUACCAAUCCAAAUUAAUUUUUUACCAAGACUUGAACAUUUGAGAAUAACCACUUGAUAAAACCAAACCAAUACGUGGUUGCCACAUCAUCAUUGCUACUGUUCACGCAAUAUUAUUGAGCUCAAAAUUUUAUAUUCUUAGUUUUAUUUUAUUGUUUCAUUAGUUUCAUGUCUUGAUUCUAGAAUUAAUUAACAACUAGUAAUAACCUACUUAGUUGUAGAUUUAUUAUUGAAUCUGUUUCUUUCGUGUCUUCGUUAUUUGUGUGCUUUUCUCUUUUUUUAACAUGUAGUAACUUCUUUGUUUCAAGUUCAUAAGUAAAAUUUUUUUUUAGUCUUGAGUCGAUCAAACAAGAAGCUAUUCCGGCCGCCAAGUAGAAUUGACAUCUUAUUAACUACUGGAGUAUAAGCAACUUUCAAUAUUCGUCGCUCCAAUUGUGAGGAUCAUAAUUUGAGUGAAUAGGAGUGUUGGUGAGGAGCUUUUACUACUAAUUUUGUUUGUUCAUUGUGUAGGAACAAAGAUGAUAUAAGGGGAACAUGUCUUCGGUAGCGGGGAUUAUUGUGACUACAACAUGGGAGACUAUGGUUGUAGUGAAGGGUUUUAUGGCUACGAAGUUGAGGGAGAUUGUGGAGGCUAUGAAAAUAGCCAUGAUCAAAACUUGGGCAGAUUUGAAAGUUACUAUUUUGAGGGAGAAAAUAGGGUGAAUGAAGUGCCUAGUGCUUAUGGUGACUUUGGAGAUGAUGUAGGACCUCGUGAUGGAUCUUAUGAUAACGUUAGGGCAUGUGAGGAGUCUUACACUUCUUACUUCAAAUGUAGAUUUGGUGUUAGGUAUAACCCUUUCAUUCGCAAAGUUUAUAAGAGCUAUGAUGAGAGUACACGUGAGGAGUGUAAAGAUUCAUAUUCUCCACCUUGUAGUACUUCUUAUCAAGAUCGAUAUAGUGUGAAUGGUUAUACUAGCUCUAGUGGAGGUUGUUCAACGAGAAGAAGAGGGUAUGCAUCUCUAAAACCGAGGGGUGCUCGUAUCCUUUACAAUAUUGAUCCAAGAAGGAGUGUACACUUCGGAAAGGUGACCAUUUGUGGGAAACCGGGCUUCCUCAUUGUGUAAAUGAUAGGUACUAUAGAAAAUACAUCGUUCCAUCCAUGGUUGACUACUUGGGGUUAUUUUGCGAGCCUUUACUUGUUCUAUACUUCUUGGAUAGAUUUAAGGUUAUCGAGAGGGUCAAAGUUAUCUUCUCCCAAUUUGAGUACCAUAAGAAGGUGUGAUGUGAUAUUCUUCCAUUUACAUAUGGUCAUGUAUGCUUAGGUGCCGAUUGGUUUGCACAACAUAGAGUUCCAAAUGUGCAAAAUUAGCCUAAUGAUGUAAGAGAUCAAUGGGGAAAUCACCUCAUGACAUACAUGCUGUCUGAGCUGCAAAGAGAUGUGAAUACUUACUCGAAUCCGAAUACUUAUGAGGUACAAAAUAUUGAGAGGAUUAAGGCUGUUCAAGGUGGUAAUUCGAGAGUGGGAGCGAAGCGAGGGGAUUGGCACCAAACCAAGCUAACAUUGUUUGUUCUUCUAUUUCUAAGGACGUUUGUGUAGGUACCGACAUGAAAAGUGAUGGAGAGAAAUGUCAAAGUGAAGUUGCUGCCUAAGCUUAUGGAGGACCUUCAUAAUACGAAGAAGGAGAGUCGACUCAAGAACUUCAUGGUAAAAUAGCUAACUAUUACACUUUUAUGCAUGUGAAUGAAAAUUGUGUGGCUAGUAGCCCCUUGAGUGUGAGUAGUAGCUUACUUACUUGUGAGUUUAAUAAAUCUUUGCUUUUUGUUAAUGAUGUACAUGUUAUGAGUGUGGAUACACUAGUUGAUCCUAUUGAUGACCAAAUUGACUCUUCUUGUAAGAUCGAUUUAUGUCCACCUAGUGUUGAAGCCUAUAUAUUGAACGAAAGUACAUCGUCUUGUGUAAUUGGUGUUGAUCAACCUAGUUAUGAAAAUUGUCCACCACUUGAGUAUGCGUGUGAUGUGAUUAAUCAAAAUCAAGUGAGCGAAGUAUUUGAAAAAGUUGGUCAACAAAAGGGGAGUGAAACCGAGAGCUACUCUUGGGAUAAUCUUGUACUUGAAAUCUCUUUAAAAAGUAAUAUUGAGCUUUUAGAGAGUGCUGAAUGUGUUUGUUCCGAAUCUUCCCAUGAAAUAGAUUAUGCUCUCUUUAGGUAUAAUGUCUUAUUUGAAGAUGAUAUAAACACUCUUAAUGAGCCUAGUGGUGGAAAUGAAGGUAUAGCUUGCCUUGGAAGAUAUAGCCGAUAUGCUAACCCACUAUGGUGUGACAAUAUUUCUCCUAAAGAUGGAAAUCUUUUUUUUGAAAGAUGAGAGUACUCGUAUAGGUAAGAAAUGUGUAGUCCUUCUUGAAAACCUGAGGGCAAAGGUGUCAUUGACUCCUUGGAGUAAUGUUCCUUAAUGUGCUUCCUUGUUUGACAAACUUGUCCCUAAAUUGCAUGAAUUCCAACUUGUAGAUGCCAAGUUGUCUAGUUUUUUGAAGGAAAGAAUGUGUAUGUGUUUAAAUACUUAUUCUUCACCCGUGAAUUCCUUUGCAUGUGAUUCUUUCCUAUACUACCUCUUUGCCUAUGAUGAUGUCCAUGCUAGUUUUGGAUUUGUUUUAUGUCGAGGUAGGAAGUUUGUUGGUCUGUCCAUGUGUGUAUGAUAAUGCUAUAUAGAUUUUAUGGACUUUAGAACCAAUCGAAACACCCCCUUUGGUGUGGUUUUUUGAUGAGAUAAAGAAGCAAGGGUGUCUUAUGGCUCAUAAGAUGAAGUAAGUUCUACCUUGUGGAUUAUUUGAUGCCAAUAGGACCUAUGUAGUUUCUUUAUCUCUUGGUGAUUCCCAUAACCAAAUCCUUUGUGCACCUUUUAUUGAGCUUUUAAUAUUUAAUUCAAAGAAUCCUUGGAUAUAUUACAAAUAUGUUCAACCUUGGCAUGUUGAGAUGAUUUAUUGUGCUAACCCUAACCCUCAUGCCAUGAGGAGUUUGUAUUUAUUUGUCCUCUCUUUAUUUUUGCAAGGUUUGGAUUUGAGGUUGAAUUCUUUUCAAGAAGGGAAGGAUGAUACGAGAAUAAUAGCCACUUUAGCUUUCGAUGACAUCAUUCAAAGUCACUAUGUAAAGAAUCAAGCUUUGGUCGCAUGGAGGGCACAUGAUCAUACUUGGAGGGGGCGUUUUGAGCCUACCAUUAAUCAAAUCUGAGUGUGAAGAUUGCUUGGAGACUUGAAGACUUAAUUACUCUUGGGUUUGGACCACUUUGUUGGUUCACCGUUUUGAUUCCUUGAUUGAAGGGCAUUUUGGUCACUUAUCUUUGUCCAAGUGAUACUCCAUGACCAUCCCUCCUCAUUAAGGGCAUUGGAAUCAUUUUGUGUUCAUUUUGUAAUUGAUUAUAAAUAGGCUCUUUUAGUCUUAUUUUCAUUAGUUUAUGAAAGAUAAAAGAUUGAAAUAUUAAAAAUCCUCUCUCUUGAGAGUAGAACACUUAGUCUUAGUUAGGGCUUGGAAAAGCUAGUAUUGAUCUUUGCUUGGAAGCGAUGGAUCUUGAGGUGAGUUGAUUCCCUUGGCGAUCACCGUAAUAGUGUGGUUUUGAUUAUUACAUUCAUUAGGGGUUUUUGAGUUUAAUACACUCUUUAGUUCUUAAUCUUGUAAUAAUCUUGGUUUCACUAUCUAUCCUUUACUUUUAUUGUUGUCAUCUUGUGUAGUGGACUAUUUUGGGUCUUUUAUUGAAUCUGAAACUUGUGUUAUUGUUAUUCAUCUUGUUCCUCAUAUUUUGUUGCUGUUUUGGUGUUAUAUACACCAUUGUAUAUUGUAUUCUUCUUGUUGAUAGCGAAUCCGAGAGUUGUCUCCAUCUUGGUCCUUGGAUCCUUAAGAUUGCGGAUUGAUUUAGAGUGUGUUUCAUGCUUCCGCUGUCUUUCUCGUAUCAGUUUGGGAGAGAAAGAAGCAAUUCAAGCUUUGCAACAAGUGCACUCGGGAGUUUGUGGAUCACAUCAGUCUGGACCCAAGCUCAAUUUUCACAUUAAGAGGAUAGGAUAUGAUUGGCCAACGAUGGUGAAAGAUUGCUUGGACUAUGCUAGAAGAUGCAAAGCUUGCCGAUUCCAUGCAAAUUUCAUAUAUCAACCUCCAGAGGUACUACACCUAACUGUAGCAUCUUAGCUAUUCAAUGCAUGGGGAAUGGAUGUUGUUGGUCCAUUACCAAAAUCUUCUGGUGGACACUUAUACAUGUUGGCCGCGAUAGAUUACUUCUCAAAAUUUGUUGAAACUGUUUCUCUCAAGGAAGUAAAGAAACAAAAUGUCGCAAACUUUAUACGAGUGAAUAUCAUCUACCGCUUUGGAAUUCCUCAGUACAUAAUAACUGGCAAUGAAAAUCCAUUUGAUAACAAGUUAAUGAAUAAAAUCUGUAAUCUUUUUGGUUUCAAGCAGCGCAAGUCUUCUAUGUACUAUGAUGCCGCCAAUGGUCUAGUGGAAGCAUUCAAUAAGACUUUAUGCAACUUGCUGAAGAAAGUCAUCUCCAAAUCAAAUGAGACUGGCAUAAGCAAAUAGAAGAAGUUUUAUGGGCAUAUAGGACAACUUAUCGUACACCGACGUAAGCAACCCCAUACUCACUUGCUUUUGGAGUUGAAGCAGUCCUGCCACUUGAGCGUAAAAUACCUUCUUUGAGACUGGUUGUUCAAGAAGGGUUCACCGAUGAAGAAAAUGCUAAGUUGCGUCUUACAGAGUUAGAAGCUCUUGAUGAAAAGAUGCUGGAGGCUCAACAAAAUCUUGAAUGUUAUCAAUCCCGGCUUUCUCAUUCUUUCAACAAAAAGGUUCGCUUGAGGUGUUUCUAAGUUGGAGAUCAAGUCCUUACAGUAAGAAGACCCAUUAUCACUUCUAUAAGUCUGGGGGCAAAUUCACUCUGAAGUAGAAUGGACCAUACGUCGUACAAGAGACAUAUUCAAAUGGUGCUUACAAGCUUGUUGAUGCAGAUGGCGUGAGGAUUGGUCCCAUCAAUGCCAAGUCUUGAAGAAAUACUAUCCUUGAAGGAAGAUGACAAUCCUUAAGGCAUUAAACCACAUUGAGAUUUUUGUUUUGAGAAUUUAUGUGCUACAUGCACCCAUGUUUAGACUAUAAGGGUCAUUAACCCACAUUGAGAUUGUUGUUUUAAAAAUUUAUGUGCUACAUGCACCCAUGUUUAGACUAUUUUUGAUGCAGUAUAGAAAGAUUUGACCUUUUGGUCACAACAAAGUUAAAAUCCACUUUAUGAAAUGAGUUCCGAAUUUUAUCAUUUAUUUAACUUAAGAAAUAUGAGAUUACCCUUAAAGUGGAUUUUUCUUGAGAUUUUUUAGCAUAGUAUUGGGAGUAGUAUUUAGCACCGAGUUGGGUAUGUUACUGCGAUUUCAUACCCUAGAACUAUAUGCCACCGUAGGUUGAGACAUUGACUUCCACUAUAUGUGGAAAAUUGAGAUAGUGAUCACUGAGAUGAGAUUAUUCUACACCGAUUGCAAGAUUAGGACAGCCCUAACCUUAUGGGGGAAAGUCGUGGGACAUCAUGGGUGCUCACAUGGUGUACAUGUCGGUUAGAAGAACCUCCCAAAGAGUCGUCUCUCAUUCUUAGAUUGAUUUUACUGAUUUAAAAGAGAUAAGAAAUGGAGAUUUAUGAUGUAUUCAAUAUUCCAGAUUUUACUAAGAUUGCGUGAUGAGAAAAUAAGAAAAGAAUCUUGAUAUUUGGAUUAAGUGUAAUGGCUCAUGAUAUCCAGAUUGGCAUGUUUUACCAUUCAUUGUGUAUGAUAGAUUUUAGAAGAUUUCUUUCAANNNNNNNNNNNNNNNNNNNNNNNNNNNNNNNNNNNNNNNNNNNNNNNNNNNNNNNNNNNNNNNUAUAUAUAUAUAUAUAUAUGCAUAUAAAUAUGUUUAUUUCAUGCACCCCUAUGUACUCGGUACAUAUUCCAUGGUACUGACCCACAUGUUCGCAUGUGGGCUACAUUUUUCUUAUAAUGUAGGUUCAGGUGCUCAUUCUCAGGUUUGACCGUCAUUAUCCAAGAACGCUGAUCUACAUCCUCUGCAGUGGCAAGUCCUCAUGGUCCUAGGACUAGUUAUUCAAAUUUUCUCAUUUACUUUGAGUCGUUCAGUUUAUUUCCUGAGUUUGGGUCAGUUGGGGUUUGUCCCAAUGGCUCAUGGAUAUACAGUUUAGUAGAGGCUUAUCAAACUAGAUGAAUAGAUUUAUCAGAUUUAUCAGAGAUGUCGUAUUUUAUUACUUUCCAUAUUUCAUUCGUAUUGCAAUAUGAUAUUAUAGAGGAUGUUUAGAUGUUUUGAUUAUGAUGACUUUGAUUAUAAGUGUUGAAUGGUAGAAAAAUGAAUAAAAGGGUUAGCUUGGGGCUACUUGUAGCCUUAAGCACCGUGUGAUGCCUCGGGGCCCAUUUUUGGGGCGUUAUAAAGGGAUUUUAAGUUAUUGAUGAAAAAUAAAACUUUUAGUUGUAUUAUAUUCGAGAAUGGGUUUACAAUUUUGAGUUUUGAUGGUAAAAUCGUAGAAAGAACUUGAGAAAUUCCUAGUUUCCGUUGCAGUAUUCCGUUGACUAUCAUGUUGUGGUAUUAUUGGAUGGUGUUUGUGGUGGUGGUGGUGGUAUUUGUGGUCGUCGUGGUGGCACUGGUGGUGGCAUUGGUUGGUGGCGUUUGUGGUGGCUGUCGGUGGUGUCGUAUUCGUGGUGUUUGUUUGUUUGUUGGCAUUAGUUGGUGGUAUUUGUGGUGGUGGUUGUUGGUAUGUCGGUAUUCGUGGUAUUUGUAAUGUAUUUUUUAAAAUCUAUGCAUACAUCAAUAGUAAUGUAAUUUUUGUUUUUCUUUGUCUGUAGGUAAAACAUGUCUCUCAAAAGAAAAGAAAGUCAAAGUGGAUCAACGUCUGACCACUAAAUAAAAGGCUACAGUACAGAGGUAUUCAAAGGAGCUUCCUGAACAAUCUCAGUCAGGGAAAAGUGAAGCUGAGGAGAGAUGAAAACAACAUUGAAGGAGGUGGACAAGGGUCCGUAGAUGGUGAUAAAGAAAAUGAAAGUGAGAAAGAGAAGGAAUUGGAGAGUGAGAAAGAAAAAGAGGAUAAUUAUCAACAUGAUGAUAAUGGAUCACCGAGCAAAGAGCAACACCAAUAUUAAGGAAGCUGAUCUUUUUAACCCUCAAGAUGAUGCAAUACGUCUUCUUCAAGUAAAAUAAUUCUACUCAAAGAUAAGAAAGAUAUUGAACAAAUGUUAUAUCUGGUGCAACAGAUAUUAUAUCUGAUGCACCAGAUUGGACAUAUGUUGCAAUAGGGUAUAUCUUGCAUCAGAUUACCCAUCUGUUUCUUUAAUUCUCUGAAUCCGACUCUUAAAAGAUUUACCAUUUACUACAAAUUAUGCAACAGAUGUUUAAUCUGAUAACAUAUUGUUCAUCUAUUGCGACAUACAGAUCAUCUAUUGCAUAAUUGAUUACCCGUCCUGUACACCUGUUGCAACAUAUGAUUGAUAUUUUGCAUCAUAUUAUCCAUGUGUUGCUCUGUUUCUCUGAACCAGACUCAAAUGGAUUUUAACCAUAUACUGCAAACUAUGCAACAGAUGGGUGAUGACUUUUUAUAUUACUCUAGGUCAUGUUGAUACUAUUGCAGACCCAACGGUGGAGUUAAUAAAGAAGGAAUUGGCUGGAGCAACAACCCUAAGAAGAGCAGUUAGGCAAGGUCGGCCUAAUGUUGAGGCUCUUCAUGACCAACCUUUUACUAAGACAGAUUCGGGUGCUUCUUCUGGUGGAGUUGUUGGUGUUGGUGGCAGGCAUGCUGAUGCUACUACCACUCAUGAUGAUGAGCAUGUUGAUGCUCAAGAAAGAAUAAAUAUGUUUGAAAAUAUCCCUUUUUGCCCUUACACAGGUCCCUAUCACCCCUCUUCAGCCUCGUGUUCUCAUUAUAAAUGCGAUGAGUACAAGGACAGACAGGAUAAAAUCUUUGAAAAAAUAGAGACUAUCUCUAAAUCUAUCGAGAAAUUCAAAUCCAAGAGGUGUGUUAUACCAUCCAAGAAGGUGAGGGAGCCACACACUCAUACAACGUUGGUUAGGAGAAAAAAAAGAGCAAUUAGAGACGUACUCACCGCUCAAAAAUAAAAAAAUUGCAAUUUCUCCCUCUCCAAAAGCUGUUGAAGUUCAGGGUCCAGUCAAGAAGGUAGACAUAUACACUAAACUUGGUACCGAAGAGAAGAGGGAGCUGCGACAGGCCAAGCAUACCAAGCCAGGCGCGCCAGAUUACCCCAGACCUCCCUUUUCCCCCAAGACUUCCAGACUAUGACUGAUAUGCGUAUGCCGUAAGAGGAUAAGGCAAGUUUACUUUUCCUAACCUAGCCCUUCUAAUCUACCCCAUGAAUAAAAAGCUACGUAAUAGAUUUCACAUCUGUUGCAACAGUUGGGUAUACUGGUGCAACUGGUAGUGGUUCUGUUGCAACUUAUUAUCCAUCUAUUGUAUAAGUUUUGGAUUAUUGAUUCAGAGAACCCUAUGAAACAGAUGGACCAUCUGUUGUAUCUUUACAAUUACUAACCUAUUUAAAAAUUAACUUCUUAUCUCACAACAUGUUGACGUAAUUCUCUACCUCAUGAGGAAAAGGCAAUAAACUACAGGGAAGCUUAUAACGUUGCCGAUAGGAUAAUGGACCUCGACUUCUGCAAGAAGCUUAAGGAUAGGUACGAUCAAAUCAAUGAAGAGGCGUCAUCCCUUGGUGUGGGACUUGAUUUCCUAGUUCCUACGUUGGUCUUGGAUGAAGAAGAAACGUUAAGAUAUGUUAGAGGGGACAGGCUAAAUCCACACGGCAAGAGCUGGACCGAGGCAAAAAGGAUUCUUCCAGUCAUUAGCAUGAACGGCAUGCAUUAUAGGGCUAUUGAGAUACUACUCGAGGAGGAAAAGAUCAAUGUUUAUGACACCAACAUACCUCUCAUCGAUGAUUUCGAUCUUUUUCUCCUCGUGGAGCCACUGAUGGUGCUGUUGACCAUCUUGUUGAGAGAGAGUAAGCUGAUGAAUCGUUUUCCAAAGGAAGUGUUGAUGAAGAAAUCAUGGGAUUUUGAAGGUCAAAACAAGGGAAUGAUCCUUCCAAAAGAUGAUGCCGCUAAAGCAAACGGUUCACACGCUCUUGCACACAUCGAAUGUUUGCUGACCGACACAGAAAUGACCGAGCCAACAACUUUUCUGUGCGAUAAUAUUGUGGCAAACCUGCAAGAGGUCAGGUCUUAUGGGGUACUAACUGGACGCUUGAAGCCUGUGUAUAUAGAAGAGCCUGUGAAAUAGAAAUUUUUAAUUUCAAGUCACCCUUCACUUUAUUACAUGUACAUGUAGUGGCAACAAUUUUUUUGAUGAAAUUUGAGUUUUUUAUAUGCAAUGGAUUAGAUUGUCAAUCUGUUGUACAAUAUCUUUAAUCCGUUCUGGCAUAUAGUUUAUCUGUUGCAAUAGGUUGGUCAUCUGUUGCAUUACGGUGAUGUUAUUUCUAUGAAUAAUCUAAUAAUCUAAGUCUAAUCUGUUGCAACAGUGGAAAGACCUGUUUGAUAAUUUAUAACAGAUGAGCUAAAUUUUACAACAUAUGCCUAAAUCUUUUUGAUUUUUUCAGCAGUUACGCUUGAAUAUCCAUGUGCUCGACAACACCAAACCAGUAGCAAAUAUACACACCACCAUGAAAAUUUCAGCAAUUAGACUUAAAUAUCCAUGUGCCCAACAACACCAAACUAGUAGCAAUAAUGGCAAUAAUGUAGUAUCUUCUUGUUCAAUUUUGCUUCUCUUCAAAAGCCUUGAAUUUGUUCAACAAACCCCAGAUUAUACGAUUUGCUUGUGAAGGCUGUCAUUCUUCAUACCAAUCAAAUUAAUCACAUCCAUCCAAUUUCUAUAAAAAAGUGAACAUAAUUACAAAAUAAUUAAUCAAUUAAUUAAAUAAAAAAAUAUUACCUUUGAAAUCUUACAAGUAAAAAACCUAUGAUCCGAAUUUUGUUGAGUCCAAGAAGUCUUUAAUAGAGCUUCAUGUCCGCACUUACAAUAUCAAAAAUCUUUAUCACAAAAAACAGUGGAAGAUGCUCUCGACAUUGUCAAGCUCAGUUGAAAAAAAGGAAAGAAAUAAUUUGAAUAGAUAAACGAAGAUGAAGAUGAAGAAGAAGAUUUGAAAAUUUAGGGUUAAAUUUUUGGAGGAAGAUGAAUAUAUAAGACAAUGGGGGAAAAAAAUGACCAUUGGGGGCCAAGUGACGGAAAGUCAGCGAAAUGUACCAGACUGACACUAACACAUUUGAUGUCUAUUUUAUUUUACAUAUUUAAAAUGAACACUGUCUACUAGAUGCCUAUCUUAUUUUAGGUGUUUGAACUGAACAUCAUUGAUGGGUUGCGCCUUUUUUAUUUCAAUUCAAUUCACUUUAACCUUUUUACACGUAGUGAUAAUUUUUUAUGUCCAACGAAAGUUGAAUUUUUAUAAUGCAAUAGAUUCUCCAUCCGUUGUAACAGUUAUCCUACCUGUUCUGACAUAUAGUUUAUCUGUUGUAAUAGGUUGGCCAUCUGUUGCAUUAUCUCGAUUUUUAUCUAAAGUCCAUCUAUUGCAAUAGUGGGAAGACCUGUUUGAUAAAUUCCACCAGAUCAACUACCUGUUGCAAUAUAUGUCUAAAUCUGUUUGAUUUUUCCAAUAGAUGUGUCUUCUAUUGCAACAAAUACAUUAUCUGUUGCAAUAUUUGAAUCUAGUGCUCCUUUUCAAUUAAUAAGUUCAAAUCUAAGAAAUAAAUAAAAUUUGUAGACAAAAUAAAAUAAAUCAAAGCCUUCAUAAAUUAGCUGAAAUAAGUCGACGAAUAAAUGAAAUGUAAAAAAAUUAUUAUGGGUAUAGAUCUCAAUAAAUACAUCAACAACAAUUUAAGUAUAAUGUCAAGGAUUGCUUUGAAUUGACAAGCUCAAGCUAUAAGGAUCUACUCAGUAUGGACAAGUUGUUCUUCAUUCGGUGCUAUGGAAUUCGACUUUGCUCGUCGUGUAUUUUUAUUGUUGCUUAUGUACGGUUUCUGCACUUUCUGUUCUCCGCAUUUCCAUAAAAAGAGUAGCAUAUUAUCAAUGUUGUUCAGUAGUAGCUUCUUCUAUAUUCACCUGGAAAGCCAGAAUUGGUCAAUGCUAAUCACGGAGAUACAACAAAAUGAAAAAGGAUAACUCAUCUCUUCUAGUAAAUCAAACAGGUCUUUCUCCCAUUUUAAAUUAUCCCAAACAGAUUAUAUUUCUGUUGCAACAAUGAAUCAACUGUUGGGAUAAAUUUUUACAUGAGAAAGAUCCUGUGUGAUAAUUUCCAAUGGAUGAACCAUCCAUUACAACAUAUAAAUCAUCUAUAGUAGCAUAUAGGUCAUCUGUUGGUACAAAUAAAAGCGGUAUGAAGAACUGUUUGAUUUUCUAAACAGAAGAGACAUAUGUUACACCAGAUAAAGUAUCUUGUGUAACAGGUUAGUCAACUGUUGCAACAGAUGUAUAUAUCUGUUUGAUAAUUUUUAGCAGAUAUGUCAUCUAUUGAAACAGAUAUGUGUCUGUUUGUUUUGUCAGUUGGAAGACAUAUAACAUACUCACCUUCUUCAGCUCGUGCUGCUCUCCUUUGGAUAUUGUACGUUACUUAGUGCAACACACAGACAGAGUAGUUAUAAUUUUGCUUUUUUGGAUGCUUGAUAAUACCCUGGAAAUCACUCUCCUUCUCUCUUAGCCCUAAUCUCUAAUGGAGCGGAUGGAAAUAAAAUCCUCUUUGAUAGAAUGAGACCUCUCUUAGAUGUCAAUUCCUUUAUAGAAGUAGUUAAUGCAUUAAUAGCAUUAAUCACUACAUCAUGUUUCGCCCUCCAGUCUUGACAUUUGCAUGCAGAACAUUCGCUGGGAGAGGCAAAAUCUGUAUAACCAGUAUGAUCAUACUCAUAAUGAUUUGCUUUAAAUACUGUAAGAGGAGCAUCAUUAGCACCAACAGCAGCACCACUACCACCACCAACAACUCCAUCACCACUAAGACCAUCAACAACAACAACAAGCCCACCUUUUAAAAUUAUUUUUCUUAUAAUGGCUGUUGCUCCAAAUAAUUCUAUUUUUAUUCUGUCGAUGAUCUUAGGGUUCGAUAAGUUUGUACAGACCGUAAAGUAAGAAAAAAUAGCAUAUUCAACUCUCGAUUGGUUGGAACUAGCGACGGAUGCACAAUCUAACAUAAAUCAUGACAUAUAUUAGAAUGAUGAUUAGAUCAAUCAAAAUAAAUCAUUAAUUAAAAGAAAAAAUUAAUUAUAAUUAUAUUUACUGCAUUCUUCGAGGGGUUGAAGAGAUCAAGAAAUUUUGCACUUUUAUCAGUUUUGGCUGACAACCAUCUCAAGAUUCUUGGACAGGAAACUCCUUCCUGGUAGUUCACUUGUUGUCUUAAUAAGGAAUGGCUUCAAACGCCCAAGCAUAUAAAAUAAUGCCAAUAAAUCAAAACCAUUAUUGAGCCAAAAAAAUGAAUGAUAUCAUAAUAGAAGAAAGAAACAUUUACCAUGAAGUCCAUGGAAAAUCAUAUAAGUUGACUGUCUUUGGCGCUAACGAAGUCAACAAAUAUUUGACAGUCAUUUUGAAGCUUUCAUACCCCCAAGGAUAGCUGUUAAACGCCUUAAGAUCCUCGGAGAGCUUUAUUAAACCGAGGCUUAUGUUGUUGUUAACGUCUCUCGCCCAAAGAAUAUUAUGUACAAACCAAACCAAGCACAAUGAUUGCUUGUGCUUCUUUGAAAGUCCUUUACCUUUCAACGCUUCUAUCAAAUUUUUAUUUUUGAAGCUUGGACCAACAAUGGACACCAGGUUAUAACGAUCACACGACUUGCCUUUGCCUUUUUGGGGUGUGCGGGGUGCUUUUUUAGGUUAGAAUAGGUAUAACUUGAGAAGGAGGAUAAUAUUUUAGUCCAGUAACUAUGGCAAACUCUUUCCAACUAAAAUAAAUAGGCAUGCCACAGUAAUUUAUCCACACCUCAUCUAUCUUAUCUUUAUUUUCAUAGAUAAACCUAUGCUUGAGAAGUUCAUAUACCAUUUUCAUUUAGAAACAAGCAUUGUUGUCCUCUGGCAAAUCAAGAUAUUUCUCAAAGUAGCUGUGCCUGAAAUAAGCAUCUAAUUUUUAUUCUCAAAGUAUUUUUCUAAAGGCGUUGAAAGAUUUUCCCAUGAAUAACUUCCACGAAAUUACCCGUUAAAUCUGCGGCAUCAUCACACUGCAUUCUCACAGGAUAAUGAUCAAUGUUGAAGGCUUUGACCAGCUCUUCGAUGGAAGGGCUAUUAUCAUCUGCAUCAUCUCUUCUAAAAUAUUUCUCCUCCCCAUGUUCAUCAUAUUCUGCUCUCGAUUGAGAUAACGCUUGUAAAGCAAGCUCAUAGAGUGGUGGAUGUAGCCUAGCUGUUUCACUUGUUCCUUUACUUGGACUUGAUUCGAUUUCUGUUCUUUUGGGAAUCAUAUUAUCUAAAAUUAACAGGAACAUAAAAUAAUAUAUUAUUGUUGAUUAAUGCAUCAUUAAAAAAGGAUAACAGUAAAUCAAACAAGCAAAAUAGUAAAAUGACAGCUUUAACAGAUUAUCGAUCUAUUGCACUAGGUAGUAUAUCUGUUGCAGCAUAUAACCAAACUGUUGCAACGGAUGAGUAAUCUGUUACAACAAUAAAAACAUAUCACUCAUAUUUUAAGACAGAUGAAUGGUCUGUUCAACAGAUCACACAACUGUUGUGACAUCAUCUGUUGUAAUAAAUGAGUGAUCUGUUGGAAUAGUUAAAUAAUCCAUAGCAACGGCUGAGUAAUCUAUUGCGAUAAUACAAACAUAUCAUUCAUCUGUUCAGAAAGAUGAAUGGUUUAUGCAACAGAUCACACAUCUGUUGCAACAUAUGAAUGAUCUGUCAGAGCAGUUAACUAACCUGUAGCAAUGACUGAGUAAUCUGUUGCGACAAUACAAAACAUAUCACUCAUUUGUUGAGAAAGAUGAAUGGUCUGUGUAACAGGUCACACAUCUGUUGCAACACAUGAGUGAUCUGUUGGAACAGUUAUCAACAGUCAAUAUUGCUUAGUUUUCUUCCAACAUAGGGUCGUCUAUCAUGGCAGAUGAAUGAUCAGUUGAAAAAAUCAAGUCUUGGACAUUUCCUGUAGGAAGAGUUGAUAGGAUUUUAUCCAACAGAAGGUUCAUCUAUUGCAUCAGAUUAUUAAUCUGAUGGUUCUUCCAUUGCACCAGAUGAUUAAUUAGUUGCAUCAGAUUUUUUAUCCUAUGCUUAAUUUUUUGCAAUAUAUGGUAAAGCUCUUGCAUCAGAUAGUUAAUAUGUUGCAUCAGAUUAUUAAUCUGUUGCAUCAGAAUUAUAAUUUGAUUAUUCCUCGGUGCAUCAAAUGGUUGAUCUGUUGCAUCAUAUGAUAAAUCUGUUGCACCAGAUGUUUAAUAUGUUGCACCAAAUGAGUAAUCUGUCGGAGGAAAUAAAAAACAGUAGCACGAUUUUGUUCAACAAAAAAUAUCAAUUUCACCAUUUUUACUAAGAACAAGAACAGAACAAAUCAAACCAAAUUGUCGUUUUAUCUUAAUAAACACAAACAAUAAAAAUCAAACUUCAAAAAAAUGCAACAAACAACAAAAUAUCAUAAUUCUCUUCGAAAAGAAAAGAGAAGAAAUACUAGAAAUUAGAGUUUUAUUCAGACCGCAUUUCAAAUUAGUGCAACAAAUAUUAAAAUUGUUAACCAAUACUAUAAGAGAAGUUGGCUCAAGUUCCUUGUUUUCUUCAAAACUAAAAAGGCCAUAAAUUUUUACCUGUGAAAGAAGAAAAGGAACGAUGAAGAAUUCGAAGCUGUUGUGGCCGGAGAGCAAGUCUGUCACGUCGAUUGAAGGUUGAAGUCGAAAAGGAACUCGAAGCCCAACUAUUUGUAGUCGGAUGUUAAAGUCGCCGAGGAUUGAAAUGAGAAAUUUGCAGAACAGUUGGUUGGGAAAGAAUUGAGAGAAGCUGCCAAGAGAGGAAUGAAAGACAGGUUGAUUGAAUAGAAGAGAGGAACUCGAAGCCCAACUAUUUAUUGUCGGAGGUAGAAGUCGUCGGGGGUUGAAGGGAGAAAUUUUGCAAAACUGUUGGUUGGGAGAGAGUUGAGAGAAGCUGUCGAGAGAGAGGGGAGAGUGGUUGAUUUGGAUUGAAGAGGGGAGUUGGGUUGAUUUGUAUUUUUGAAAAGAUUAGAAAUUUUUAAAAAUAUUAAUCAAGUCCACAAUUAACUUAAUUAAGUUUCCUAAUGAUGUUUGACCCUAUCUGUUGGUCAAUGUCACCAAUCCUUCAUUCAAGACUUAAAAGACACUUUUCCUUCAAUUUUCUCCACUUACUCUAUCUCAAAUGUCCAUUUUCUUUCUAAUUUUAAAAAGUGUUUUUUCUUUUUUGCUUUGCUAUUUAAAAAAGAAAAAAAAACUUUUUAGUUGUUUUUUAUUUAAAUUUUUUUUAUUUUCUAAUAGUUUCACUUCUUUAGUGAAAGAAAAAUAUUUAUGUUGUUUUAUUUUUUUAAUUUAUAUUUUUAUUUAUUAAGGUGGGAACGUAUUAUAAUCAAAUAAGUAUCAAUAUCGAUACAUUACAUAAUUAUUUAUAUAACAUCGAUACACAAUUAUACACCAUUUGUAUAAUGUACCUAUUUAUGCAACAUCGAUAUAAGUUUAUACAUGCAUGUUUAUACAUACAUGUUUAUAUAGUAAUUAUACAAUAUUUAUACAGGUUUAUACAUCAUUUAAACAGAGUAGAUAUUACAUAACUAUUUGUACAUCGUCGACACUUGUUUACACACAUUUAUAUAAUAUUGAUAUAUUAAAUAUAUGCUACAUAACUAUUUGUACAUCAUAUAUACAUGUUUAUACAUCAUGUAUACAAUAUUGUUACACGUUUAUACUAUUAUACAAUAUCGAUACACUACAUAUAAACUAUGUUAACUAUUUAUAUAAUAUUGAUAUAUUAUAUAUUAACUACAUUAACAAUUUAUACAAUAUCAAUACACUACAUAUAUAGUACAUAACGAUUAGUACAUUAUAUAUACAUAUUUAUACACCAUUUAUAUAAUAUUAAUACAUGAAAAAAUUGCAUGAAAAGCCCUUUUAAAAGAAAAGUGAAAAAGUUUUCCUUUCAAUGAAAAAAAUGAAGCAAAAAAAGUAACAAAAAAAUUAUUUUUUUCUUUUUUUAAUUUACUGCUGAAAAUAAUAGAAAAAGGAUGAAAAUGGUCUAAUGGCCAUUUUAAGUAAUAUACAAAACUUGGUUAUAUUUAUUGUAAAUUUUUUAUUUUUUAAAUAUAAAUGAAAUUUUUUCUUUAAAUAUGUACGCAGAUAUAUAACUUAUUAAAUUUAAUGAAAUAAACUUAAUCAAAUAUUUUUAAAUUUUACAAAGCUAAUAUUAUGUUCAUACGUUUUUAAAAGAUUUUUAAAAAUUCGCCAGCUUCAUCAAGUUCUCGUGCAAAUUCAAUAUUUUCCAUGAAAGGUUUGAUAUACUAUUGCACAAGAGUUGUUACAUAUACUUUUAUAAACAAGAACUAGUAGAACUAUCCGUUCUUUGCGCGGUUAAAAAUAUCUUAUUCAAUUCAUGAAAUGAUCCUCUUUAAAAUAUUUGAGCACUUGUAAUAUAACUAGAGGAACAUGGCCCGUGUAGUACAGGCCUAACAUUAAGAUAUUUAUUUCUCUUUUCAAUCUUGAUAUAUUUAAAUAAAAUUUUUUAAUAACAGGAUUGCAUAUGUUUUCUAGGAUUCAUCCGGAAUCUAGCAUUAAUUCAACAUAUCUUAUUUUAAUAUUAUUUAGAUAAUUUAAGUUGUUAAAUAUUGUAAUUUAUAAUAUUUUUUAUGUAAUUUUCAAAUUAAUAUACGUUACUUUUCUUGUCCAAAUUUUGCAGCAUUGAUAGACAAUUAUAUUUUAAAAAUAAUUUAAGUUUUUAAUUAUUUUGAUUUAUGAUACUUUCUUCUAUUUCAAUUUUAGUGACACUAAUAUAAUUUCAAGAGUCGACCAAAUAUUUUAUAUCUUUCAAAAAUUUUAAAUUGUUAAUUAUUGUGAUUUCUAGUAUUUUUCAUGUGAAACAUAUAACAUAUUAAAUUAUUUUUAGAUAUUUUAAGUUGUAAACUAUUAUAAUUUAUAAUACUUUUUAUGUAAUUUUUGAAUAAUAUAUUUUACUCUCCUUGUCCAGAGUUUUGUGUCAAUGAUAGCCAAUUAUAUUUUUUAAAUAAUUUAAAUUUUUUAUCAUUGUGAUUUGUAAUAUUUUUUCUAUUUCAACUUAUGUGGCACAAUGCUUAAAUGACCAUAAUAAUUAAUUAGGAGUGAUAUAAUAAAAUAUAAUUAUUAUUAUUUAUUAUUUAUUACUUUUAUUAUGUGUAUGUGUUGAUUCAAGUAGAAUUUGGAAACAUUUAGAAAUAUGUUGAAUGUUACAAAUGUUAAUAAUCCAUUUGGUGCUUCUUGAUUUCUCUACAUUUAUUUCUUGUGUGUUUUUACUCUUUUGUUCUUUGAGUAAAUGUAGUAAUUUUUUUAAAAAUAUCAUGAAAUUUUUUAUUAUUAGUUUUUCAAUACAAAAGUGACUUAUAAUAAUUAAUUGCGGGUGAUACAUUAAAAUCACGAUUGAAGCAGCAAAAAUCAGUCAAUUUUUUAAAAUUAUUUUGUUAAUUAUUGUUAUUUACAGUACUUUUUAUUUUAUUUUCAAAUAAUAUAUGUUGCUCUAUAUCUUCUUCUAUCUAGUCCCAAUUUAUGUGGCACUAGUAUAAUUUUGAUAGUCAAUCAAAUAUUUUAUGUUGACAUAUAAUUUUGUUAUUUUAUUUUUUAAUAUAUAAAUGACUUAUAAUAAGGAGUGAUAUAAUAAAAUCAUCGUUCGAAAGACAAAAUUUUAAUUUAAAACAUUAAGAGUUAAUUUCGCAUUUUAUGUCUAUUUUAUUUUUCAUUAAAUAUUAUUUAUUUUUUUAAUACCUAAUUGACUCAUAAUAAUUAAUUAAGAGCGAUUAAUUAUGUUAUUACUAUAAAAAUUAAUAUAAUUUUAUUAUAUCCAAUAGUAAUCUUCGAUAAUUCACUAAAAUAAUAUAUUAAUUAAAUACGAGAUGCUAUAUUUGCAUAUGCAAACUUUAAAAAUUUAAAGUUAAGUUUAAAUAUUAGUAUUUCUAUAUAAGAAAAAAAUUAAUUAAAAUAAAUAAAUAAAUAAAUAAAAAGAUUACUUUUCUAUAUAAAAGUCAAUUAAAAUAAUAAAAUUGAUUUACUUUCAAUAUUUAGUUGCAAUUAAUUAAGAUAAUUUUUUAUUUUGUCAUAAUUUAUGUUGAACCGAUAAAAUUUUGAGAGUUGAAUAGAACUUUUAUCUAUUUUUAAAAAAAGUAUUUUUACUUGUUAAUUAUUAUAAUUUAUAAUAAUUUGUACGUAUUUUAAAAUAAUAUAUUUACUCCUUGUGUCUCCAUUUAUAUGGUUUCAAUACAAUUUUGAGAAUCAACUAAAAUUUUUAUAUAUUUUUUAAAUAUUUUAAAUUGUUAAUUAUUAUAAUUUGCAGUAUUUUUUCUUUUAUCUCAAUUUAUGUGGCAUUGCUAAAAUAAUAAGAGUCAAUAAAUUUCUGUGUCUUUCAAAUAUUUUAAGUUAUUAAUUAUUGUGAUUCGUGAUGACAAAUUAGUUUUGAAUAUGAUAGCAAUUAAAUAAAUAAAAAAAAUUUACUUCUAAUAUGUAGUUAUAGUUAAUUAAUUUAAAUUUAAUAGAAUAUAUUAAAUACUUGAAUCAUUACGACGAAACAAUAAAAUUAUUAUAUAUUUAAGCAUGAUAUGUAAUUAAAUGAAAAUAAUUUUUUUUUGAUAAUUGCAUGAGAGGUGGUUGAAACCACCUCUUCUGCUGUAUAAUUGAAAUAUAAUGAUAAAAAUAGGUUGUGCGCACCUAAAAAAUGACCCUCACUUUCCACAAUUAUAUAUUCCGAGAAAAUUACAUAUAUAUCGUCUUUUGAUUUUAAUUUGUACAUAAUGCUCUGAUGUUUUUGCUUGUAUACCUUGCAAUCCAUUCUAUUUUACCAGUUCCAAAUUAAAAUUACACAAUUAUUAAGAAAAUCAUGAUCGAUAAAGUAGCUUUAUCAUUUAACCUCUCUUAAUUGUGUAUUGUUGUCAAUUUCAAUAUUAAUGGAUGACUAAUAUCAAAGCACUAUUUAUAUUCUUAAUAGUAUACUCUUUAUAACAUUUUUCAAGAAUAUUAAUAAUAAAAAGUAAUCAAUUAUACAAGGGAAUAAUGGUAAUCGACAUGCAAGCAAACUCUAAAAGAGGAGCCUGCAAUCCGGUCUGUUGAGCUUGAAUAUUAUGAAGUCAUCAUCGUGACACUUCUUCCACAAAUAAAUUAGAGUAAAAAGAAAAUUAGAAAACGUGUAAAAUUAAAAGAAAAAAAAAAGAAAUAAAAGAAAUUGCUUAAUCAAGUAAGAGCAGAUCAAGCUAUCAAACAUUAACUUAUACGUAAAUACCAUUGAUCACAUUUUGUAUUCCAUGCGAAAUUGGUUUUUAUGAAAAUGUUUCAUGUAAAACUGAACAAUGAAACUACAAAUCCUUGAUUUAUAUUAUAACUACAUAGUAAAAACUCAUAUCAAAACAUUAAAACUACAACUUGACAAAAGAUAAUUAACUAUUAGCGAUUAUUAAGGAAAAGCAAUUAAAAUUCAAUUAGUGGUAACUCACAACAAAUCUAUAGAAGGAUUUCCAGAUCACAAAUCCAUACCACAGAAAAUGCAAUCAUGAACCAGGAAUUUCAGAGAAGGUACAUGUUAAAGCUAAGCAAAAGCACUCAAAGAAAACAUUUUCAUAGGAAGCGAUUGAACUUCGAAAGGUAUGACACAAGCCACCAUAUCAUCAUCAGAACGAUAAUCAAUUUCAUUCACAACCAUAACUAGUUGUGUCCAAAGGUGUCCUAAGAUUGAUCUGUGUCAUCAUUUGACUUAUGGCAACCAAUAAACUAAGAAAAAUGUUGCAAAAAAAAAAAAAAAAAAAAUAUGUGCCACAAAUUAAAAACCAAAAGUAAAACUUGAAUUAAUAAACAGUAUGUGAUUCAGUUGCAACAUAAACAUAAUCACUAUUAUAAAAUCAGUCCAAGUGUUGGAAUUAAAAUAAUUGCUUCAUCAUCAUCACCAUUAGAACAAAAUAUAAAACGGCAGUUUCAUAAAUAGAAAAACAAGAAUAAAAGGUCAUUCAUCACCGAAAUCAGAAGAGGGAGCUUAGAUAUCCUCAUUAUGAUUUCAAUUUAAAAAACCACUAAAUAAGUUAGAAAAAUAAAUCAAAAGAAAAAAGAGUCACUCAGUUCAGCGGGGUAAUCGACACGCAAGCAAACUCUAAAAAUAGAGAAGCCUGCAAUCCGGUCUGUUGAGCUUGAAUAUUAUGGAGUCGUCACCGUGACCUUUUUUCCAUCAAAAAUCAAUUAGGGCAAGAAAAUGAAGAAAAAUUAAAAAGUAGAUCUGGGGGAGGAAUGAAAAUGCUCAGUGGUGGCUAGUUGUUAUUGGUUCGAUUCUGCCAGCAAGUUUCCUCAAUGUUACUCAGAAGAGGGAGCUUGGAAUCCUCAUUGCAAAAUCCACCUCCCCAAAAAUUGUUUACAAAAUCUAACAAAGAGAUUUAAAAAGCAUAUAUUAAAGAUGUAAAGAAGAGAUGGCUCAGGGAAGAAGGAGAUCGACAUGCAAAGACAGAAGCCCCUGACAAUCCGGUCUGUUUAGCUUGAUCUUUCAGAGUCCGCAUAGCCACUCUUCCUUCUACAUCAACUAAAAGUAUAAAUCAGAAAAUGCAAUAAAGAAAGGAAAAGGAAGAGGAGUUUGUUGCUGCUUUACUGUGUGAAUGGUGUGGGGGCGGUGACUAUUAAUUUAUAGAGGUACAACUAGGGUUUGUAGAUUUUUUUAAGAUGGAGAAGC
This 28832-nucleotide long non-coding RNA is filed under the name Capsicum annuum. RNAcentral describes it as "long non-coding RNA (CANN_LNC002772)". Lineage: Eukaryota; Viridiplantae; Streptophyta; Magnoliopsida; Solanales; Solanaceae. The record is from RNAcentral.